This 642-nucleotide long non-coding RNA is filed under the name Sus scrofa (pig). RNAcentral's name for it is "lncRNA (ENSSSCG00060026062.1)". The record is from RNAcentral. Lineage: Eukaryota; Metazoa; Chordata; Mammalia; Artiodactyla; Suidae.
GUGAGAAGAGGUAAUUUUGCAAAUUAGCCCAAGAACCCUGAAUGAGUUAACCCCUGUGAAGCAGGAGUACGUCUCGCUCCACCACCAAAGGUUUAGGCCUGCACGUUCCAGACCCUUCUGCUGCCUUCUCCCUCUGGGCCUGUUCACGUCACUCCAGCUCUUCUCCAAGGAGCCGGCUGGGUCUGGCCAGAGACGCUGCCAGCUCCACGGAGCCAUCAGCCUUCAGAGCAGCACCUUGGGCCAGGAAACACGGACAGGGGGAGUUCUGUGUGCGACUAAUGGACCCCAGAUAGAGCCACUCUUCAGUCACUGCCGUCACUUGAAAAUGCAUUUCCAGUUGACAAUAGCCGUCUGCCUAUAGAUAGCUCCACGCAGAGAUGGCUGGUCAGGCUGCUCUCCCAGAUGCCUGGGUCAGCAAUUUCCAAAGCAUCCAGUCAGCAGUUCCUGCUUCCUCCAGCAAAGUAUGGCUCUCUCCUCCCAUCUCCCAGUCCCAGGACAGGGUCCGGGCCUAGAGGGGACAGUGGCCGCCCCAAUCCGUUGCCAACAGCAGGCCCCUCUCUCUGCGCUGCCUCCAGGCCCCCAGGACAGGUGACUUGGACCGCGCGGCCCUGGGGCAUAUGCAGCCUGGCUGGGCGGUGCUGA